This is a transfer RNA of Camelus ferus (Wild Bactrian camel), 61 nucleotides long. It matches the Rfam family "tRNA". From Rfam's summary of the family: Transfer RNA (tRNA) molecules are approximately 80 nucleotides in length. Their secondary structure includes four short double-helical elements and three loops (D, anti-codon, and T loops). NCBI's taxonomy places the organism in Eukaryota, Metazoa, Chordata, Mammalia, Artiodactyla, Camelidae. The record is from Rfam.
GAGGGUGUAGCUCAGUGGUAGAGCAUACACAAGGUCCUGGGUUCAAUCCCUGGUACCUCCA